GAUGAACGCUGGCGGCGUGCCUAAUACAUGCAAGUCGAGCGAAGCGGGGACGGGUGAGUAACACGUGGAUAACCUCCUAUAUGACUGGGAUAAAUUAGGGAAACCGUAGCCAAACCGGAAACUUAUAGAUGGUUCCGCGCUGCAGUAGCUAGUUGGUAAGGUAACGGCUUACCAAGGCAACGAUGCAUAGCCGACCUGAGAGGGUGAUCGGCCACACUGGAACUGAGACACGGUCCAGACUCCUACGGGAGGCAGCAGUAGGGAAUCUUCCGCAAUGGGCGAAAGCCUGACGGAGCAACGCCGCGUGAAUGAUGAAGGUCUUCGGGUCGUAAAACUCUGUCAUUAGGGAGGCGGUACCUAAUCAGAAAGCCACGGCUAACUACGUGCCAGCAGCCGCGGUAAUUC
This 405-nucleotide ribosomal RNA is filed under the name uncultured bacterium. RNAcentral's name for it is "partial 16S ribosomal RNA". It matches the Rfam family "Bacterial small subunit ribosomal RNA", at positions 28 to 526 of the family's 1533-position model. The record is from RNAcentral.